Molecule: ribosomal RNA, 616 nt
Filed under: Triticum aestivum (bread wheat)
Lineage: Eukaryota; Viridiplantae; Streptophyta; Magnoliopsida; Poales; Poaceae
Description: partial small subunit ribosomal RNA
Source: RNAcentral
AUAUCUCAUCCAUAUCAAGGAACUUCAACUUCAAAUCUGGCUCCAUAAUGGGGAUAACUGGCUGCUGGUGGACACCAUUUGCUUGAGUGAAAUGUGCACUAAUUUUCCUGAGGAUGAGCUUACUACUUGUAUCCGGAUAAACCAUGUGGGGGACUAUAAUGAGUAUGUAUUCUUGAAGAUGGAUCAAUAUGCACUCUACUUGGAUGUCAAGUGCAGGACGCUGUGUAAAGUGUGCGAGAUGACAGCAGAUGAGUAUCAAUUGGGUGAUAUCUAUCCUUUUAUGAUGAGCUGGCCUCCCAUUUUCCCUACUCUCAGUCCUGCAAGGGAUGCCACUUGAAGAACGAGGAUAUGAGGAAAGCUUUUGGAUGAGUUGUGACAAGGGUGCCACCAACCAAGAGCACAGGGCUCCAUUUCUGCGGUAGCAGUUCUAACCAUGUUCAUUUUAACCAUCAGUGGAUUGAUUAGGAUGGUAUGUAACUUGAGCAGCUACUCCUGUCAUGUGGCGUCAGUAGGUUAGUAUGCAUCAGUAGUGUUAGUGUGUAACUCUCUCGCCUCGUUUGUUUGUGUUGUUGUCCACUCCAGCUUGCUACUUGUGAAAAGUGUCUUAUUUUGUAUG